GACGAACGCUGGCGGCGUGCUUAACACAUGCAAGUCGAACGCUGAAGCUCAGCUUUUGUUGGGUGGAUGAGUGGCGAACGGGUGAGUAACACGUGAGUAACCUGCCUCCUUCUUUGGGAUAACGCCCGGAAACGGGUGCUAAUACUGGAUAUUCACUGGUCUUCGCAUGGGGGUUGGUGGAAAGGGUUUUUCUGGUGGGGGAUGGGCUCGCGGCCUAUCAGCUUGUUGGUGGGGUGAUGGCCUACCAAGGCUUUGACGGGUAGCCGGCCUGAGAGGGUAACCGGUCACAUUGGGACUGAGAUACGGCCCAGACUCCUACGGGAGGCAGCAGUGGGGAAUAUUGCACAAUGGGCGCAAGCCUGAUGCAGCGACGCCGCGGGAGGGAUGGAGGCCUUCGGGUUGUGAACCUCUUUCGCUCAUGGUCAAGCCGCAACAAUGGUUGUGGUGAGGGUAGUGGGUAAAGAAGCGCCGGCUAACUACGUG
Molecule: ribosomal RNA, 483 nt
Filed under: uncultured bacterium
Lineage: Bacteria
Description: partial 16S ribosomal RNA
Rfam family: Bacterial small subunit ribosomal RNA
Source: RNAcentral